This 1119-nucleotide ribosomal RNA is filed under the name Enterobacter sp. RNAcentral's name for it is "bacterial SSU rRNA". It matches the Rfam family "Bacterial small subunit ribosomal RNA", at positions 359 to 1476 of the family's 1533-position model. The record is from RNAcentral. Lineage: Bacteria; Pseudomonadati; Pseudomonadota; Gammaproteobacteria; Enterobacterales; Enterobacteriaceae.
AUGCCACCACUGGAGCGCCAGCCGGACACAGCCAUGCCGCCUGUAAGAAGAAGCCUUCCGGCUGUAAAGCUACUUUCAGCGGGGAGGAAGGGUGACGUUUAAUAACCUCACCAAUUGACGUUAACCCGCAGAAGAAGCACCGGCUAACUCCGUGCCAGCAGCCGCGGUAAUACGGAAGGGUGCAAGCGUUUAAUCGGAAUUACUGGGCGUAAAGCGCACGCAGCCGGUCUGUCAAGUCGGAUGUGAAAUCCCCGGGCUCAACCUGGGAACUGCAUUCGAAACUGGCAGGCUAGAGUCUUGUAGAGGGGGGUAGAAUUCCAGGUGUAGCGGUGAAAUGCGUAGAGAUCUGGAGGAAUACCGGUGGCGAAGGCGGCCCCCUGGACAAAGACUGACGCUCAGGUGCGAAAGCGUGGGGAGCAAACAGGAUUAGAUACCCUGGUAGUCCACGCCGUAAACGAUGUCGACUUGGAGGUUGUGCCCUUGAGGCGUGGCUUCCGGAGCUAACGCGUUAAGUCGACCGCCUGGGGAGUACGGCCGCAAGGUUAAAACUCAAAUGAAUUGACGGGGGCCCGCACAAGCGGUGGAGCAUGUGGUUUAAUUCGAUGCAACGCGAAGAACCUUACCUACUCUUGACAUCCAGAGAACUUUCCAGAGAUGGAUUGGUGCCUUCGGGAACUCUGAGACAGGUGCUGCAUGGCUGUCGUCAGCUCGUGUUGUGAAAUGUUGGGUUAAGUCCCGCAACGAGCGCAACCCUUAUCCUUUGUUGCCAGCGGUUAGGCCGGGAACUCAAAGGAGACUGCCAGUGAUAAACUGGAGGAAGGUGGGGAUGACGUCAAGUCAUCAUGGCCCUUACGAGUAGGGCUACACACGUGCUACAAUGGCGCAUACAAAGAGAAGCGACCUCGCGAGAGCAAGCGGACCUCAUAAAGUGCGUCGUAGUCCGGAUUGGAGUCUGCAACUCGACUCCAUGAAGUCGGAAUCGCUAGUAAUCGUAGAUCAGAAUGCUACGGUGAAUACGUUCCCGGGCCUUGUACACACCGCCCGUCACACCAUGGGAGUGGGUUGCAAAAGAAGUAGGUAGCUUAACCUUCGGAGGCGCUACCACUUUGAUUCAUGCCC